Molecule: RNase P RNA, 383 nt
Filed under: Synechococcales cyanobacterium K32_A2020_035
Lineage: Bacteria; Bacillati; Cyanobacteriota; Cyanophyceae; Synechococcales
Also listed under: 2 other names
Description: RNase P RNA component class A
Rfam family: Bacterial RNase P class A
About the family: Ribonuclease P (RNase P) is a ubiquitous endoribonuclease, found in archaea, bacteria and eukarya as well as chloroplasts and mitochondria. Its best characterised activity is the generation of mature 5'-ends of tRNAs by cleaving the 5'-leader elements of precursor-tRNAs.
Source: RNAcentral
AGAGGAGGCGUAGGUGGUUGCGGGCGCAGGUCGUCCGAGGAAAGUCCGGGCUUCCGAAAGACCAAACUUGCUGGGUAACGCCCAGUGCGGGUGACCGUGAGGAUAGUGCCACAGAAACAUACCGCCGAUGGAGCUUUGGCUCACAGGUAAGGGUGCAAGGGUGCGGUAAGAGCGCACCAGCAGCAUCGAGAGGUGCUGGCUCGGUAAACCCCGGUUGGAAGCAAGGUCGUAGGAGCUAUGGUUGGUCUUUUUCCAGCUCCGAGCGGGCUCGUCCCGCGUAAUCCGCUAGAGGUGUUUGGCAACAAACAUCCCAGAUAGAUAACCGCCCUCGCUGUGGGUGACCACAGAUGAGAACAGAACCCGGCUUAUGUCCUGCUCUUCCC